ACGUAGGCAGCAAGCGUUGUUCGGAAUUACUGGGCGUAAAGAGUGUGUAGGCGGUGUCGUAAGUUUGGUGUGAAAUCUCCCGGCUUAACUGGGAGGGUGCGCUAAAGACUGCGAUGCUGGAGUAUGGGAGAGGAAAGCGGAAUUCCUGGUGUAGCGGUGAAAUGCGUAGAUAUCAGGAGGAACACCUGCGGUGUAGACGGCUUUCUGGACCAUCACUGACGCUGAGACACGAAAGCGUGGGUAGCAAACAGGAUUAGAUACCCUGGUAGUCCACGCCCUAAACGAUGCAUACUUGGUGUGAGCCAUUCAGUUGGUUCGUGCCGGAGCUAACGCGUUAAGUAUGCCGCCUGGGGAGUACGGUCGCAAGGCUG
RNAcentral lists this ribosomal RNA (371 nucleotides) under uncultured bacterium. Its description in RNAcentral is "bacterial SSU rRNA". It matches the Rfam family "Bacterial small subunit ribosomal RNA", at positions 525 to 896 of the family's 1533-position model. The record is from RNAcentral.